This 232-nucleotide ribosomal RNA is filed under the name uncultured bacterium. Its description in RNAcentral is "partial 16S ribosomal RNA". It matches the Rfam family "Bacterial small subunit ribosomal RNA", at positions 100 to 334 of the family's 1533-position model. The record is from RNAcentral.
CGGGACGGGUGAGUAAUGUCUGGGAAACUGCCUGAUGGAGGGGGAUAACUACUGGAAACGGUAGCUAAUACCGCAUAACGUCGCAAGACCAAAGAGGGGGACCUUCGGGCCUCCUGCCAUCGGAUGUGCCCAGAUGGGAUUAGCUAGUAGGUGGGGUAACGGCUCACCUAGGCGACGAUCCCUAGCUGGUCUGAGAGGAUGCCAGCCACACUGGAACUGAGACACGGUCCAG